RNAcentral lists this ribosomal RNA (253 nucleotides) under uncultured bacterium. Its description in RNAcentral is "partial 16S ribosomal RNA". It matches the Rfam family "Bacterial small subunit ribosomal RNA", at positions 524 to 776 of the family's 1533-position model. The record is from RNAcentral.
UACGAAGGGGGCUAGCGUUGCUCGGAAUCACUGGGCGUAAGGCGCACGUAGGCGGAUUCCUAAGUCGGGGGUGAAAUCCUGGAGCUUAACUCCAGAACUGCCUUCGAUACUGGGAAUCUUGAGUCCGGAAGAGGUGAGUGGAACUGCGAGUGUAGAGGUGAAAUUCGUAGAUAUUCGCAAGAACACCAGUGGCGAAGGCGGCUCACUGGUCCGGUACUGACGCUGAGGUGCGAAAGCGUGGGGAGCAAACAGG